Dromaius novaehollandiae (emu) is the source of this 1350-nucleotide long non-coding RNA. RefSeq lists it as uncharacterized. The transcript is spliced from 2 exons. Lineage: Eukaryota; Metazoa; Chordata; Aves; Casuariiformes; Dromaiidae. The record is from RefSeq and is a predicted model, not a curated record.
ACGCGAGGGCCUCCAAGGGCAGACAGUGGGGUGAGUGGGGACAGGCCCCCGCGCCCAACCUGUGGGGCGGGGCUCUGUGCAGCUCCCAGGUCUCUGUGUCCCCAGUCCCAGCUUGGGAAGGGCUGUGCCAAUCCCGGACAACAGAGCCCCUGAUCUCAUCCUCCUCCGAUGACAUCUAAGCUGCUCCCAACCCCACUAGAAUGCCUCUGGAGCACUCCCAACAGCCUCUGCGUGGCUUCAGACCUUCCCUAAGCAGCGGUCGACCACUCGCACAAGCUCUAAAAUCCUCUGCCGAGUGCUGAACAGCUCUGGGCAGCCCUAAGGGGCUCUGCAACAGCUUUCAGCCUCCCUUCGAGUCCUCCAAACCUUCUCGCAAGGGCCCAGUGCCUUUUCCAAAGUACCUGAUGGAAAGAAAAACAAACAAACAACCCGCACACUGGUUGGCUCUUUGAAGCAGCUCUGAACAGCUCUGAAGAGCUCCAAGCCUCUCCUAAAUGCCCUCCGAGCCUGACGUGGGAAGGGAGUGGAGGGAAGGGUGUUUUUGAUGCUGGGAGCCUGGGGUGCCUUGCCUCAGCCCCAGCAGAGCCUGUCCAGCACCCCGGGUCCCUGUUGCCCGUCUGGUGGUCCCAAUGCCGGCCGAGCUCGCUCCUCACACCCCAGCUGCCUGUGGUGCCCACAACAGGGGGAAGACGGAGCAGGCGGCCAGGCUGUCCACGUCACUUAUGCGGGAGAUGGUGGCUGUGAGGCUGGUAGGACGGACAAGCCCGACGUGGGCCUUGGGGAAGAAAGGGUGUGCAGGGCACCCGUUGGCUUUGGGGGCACUGGUCUCAGUGGGGAUGAGGGUGGGGGUCUGAGCCCCCAAGGCCCAGCAGUCUUGCCCACACCGACACGUGUCCUGCUGUGCCUUGACCUGCAGGAGGAGCAGCUGGUGGCAAAGAGGCAGGGCAUCACUUUCUGGCUGCAGAAGCUGUUUGUGCUCCUCGCCUGCCUGCAGCUCGUGUUGCUCUGCCUGGUCCUGCUCACGAGGGACAGCAUCAGCCGGGACCUGCCCUGCAGGCUGGCGUCCACCUUUGGGAGCUGCCCAGCGUGGCCACCACCCUUCUGAUACCCCUGGCCUUGCACUGCGUGGGGUGGAGAGUGACAGGGACGCUGGGCGCCGUGCAGACCGGCAAAUGUCCAACCCUGCAGCACCACCCUUCUCCCGGGGCACCGCUGCACACAUCUGGAAUGGCAUGUGCAGGCACACUGCACAGCCAGCUGUGACUCCACCUCGCUGUGGAGGACGUUUGCCUGCCAAAUACUUGCCACCGAGCUCACCCUGCCUUUAACAAUAAAAAGCACAGCUGAGAA